AGUAAGAUCAGCUAAAUUAAGCUUUUGGGCCCAUACCCCAAAAAUGUAGGCUAAACCCUUCUCUUACCA
Molecule: transfer RNA, 69 nt
Filed under: Amphilius sp. NM-2010
Lineage: Eukaryota; Metazoa; Chordata; Actinopteri; Siluriformes; Amphiliidae
Description: tRNA-Met
Source: RNAcentral